This 506-nucleotide ribosomal RNA is filed under the name uncultured bacterium. Its description in RNAcentral is "partial 16S ribosomal RNA". It matches the Rfam family "Bacterial small subunit ribosomal RNA", at positions 28 to 523 of the family's 1533-position model. The record is from RNAcentral.
GAUGAACGCUAGCGAUAGGCUUAACACAUGCAAGUCGAGGGGCAGCAUGGUCUUAGCUUGCUAAGACUGAUGGCGACCGGCGCACGGGUGCAUAACGCGUAUGCAACUUGCCUCACAGAGGGGGAUAACCCGUCGAAAGACGGACUAAUACCGCGUCCACUUGGAGGGAGGCAUCUCCCAUCAAGGAAAAGAAAUUCGCUGUGAGAUAGGCAUGCGUCCAAUUAGCUAGUUGGUGAGGUAACGGCUCACCAAGGCAACGAUGGGUAGGGGAACUGAGAGGUGUAACCACCACACUGGUACUGAGACACGGACCAGACUCCUGCGGGAGGCAGCAGUGAGGAAUAGUGGUCAAUGGGCGAGAGCCUGAACCAGCCAAGUCGCGUGAAGGAUGACUGUCUUAUGGAUUGUAAACUUCUUUUGUAGGGGAAUAAAGAACGGUACGUGUACCGUAGUGAAUGUACCCUACGAAUAAGCAUCGGCUAACUUCGUGCCAGCCGCCGCCGUAA